UUUUUUUAUUCUCCUAAUAUUUUAUCUGUAGCUAGUAGCCAUGUUGGUGAAGAUUCUUUAUCAGUUAGUCAUGUUUGAUUUAUUUUUUUGUGCAUAUCAGUGUUAUUUUAGAUUUUAUUUUGUCUGUAUUCUGACAUUGUAAACAUAUUUUUUGAGUUAUCUCUCUUUGUUGCUAAACAUUUUUAAAUCAGUAACGGCUAUAAAACUCUUGAGCAGUAAUCAACUAAAAGUUCAGCGAUCCAAGAAAAUAAUAUUUGCUGUAACAUUAGUUAUGCAUCUUAUAUUUUUGGGUUUCCAGUAUCCUCUAAUGAACUACUUUGUUUCCUCUAUUUAAGUUUUCUAUGGAGUUGUAACUAUCAGUUUAUUAAGGUUCAUCAUAACAAACGGACAAAAUAUGGCUGUAAUAACGUGCCAAAAAUUACUCUGAGUACAGAUUUACCUGUGGAGUUGGAAAAGUUUUAACGCCUGGCAUCCACUAGAUAUUAUAAAGUUAAAUGCAUUUUAUGUUUCAGAAAGAUAAAAUCUCUUUUGGAUUUUGAUGGGCAUUUUUUUUCCUUCAUGCAAAAGGUGUGAAAAUUAACUAAGUUGUGAUACAACUAUGAGAUACUCCCUCAGGUAAAAAAUCAGUUUGUAUUGUUUUGAUUGUCCUUAAUUGACAUGGACAACAGGUAUCAUCACAACUAUAGGUGAGUUAAAGAGUUUAUCUGAGUCAAUGAGUGAACAGUAUCAAAGUAAUUCAGGUGUUUGUUUAUUUUUACACCUUCGGCAGAAAGGAUAAAAAAUGCCCAUCAAAAACCAAGAAAGAUUUUAUUUUUCUUAAACCCAAAAUGCAUAUAACUUUUAUAUGUCUAGUGGAUGCUAGGCAUAAAAACUUUCCAAACAGCACAGGUAAGUCUGUACACAGAGUAGUUUUUGAGUUGAAAAUACGGCCAUAUUUGUUCAUUUGUUAUGAUGAACCUUAAACAAUACACAUCAUUUAUAUAUAACUCACUUCUAAGAAGUGAAUUACAUGAAAAAAGUGUAUUGUCUCCCUUUGUCAAGAGAGGAAGAGAUGCCAUAUACGAUGAGUUCCAUAUAACCAUGACCAUUUCAUGUUUAAAAAUUUAUGUUGGCAAGACAGAAAUUCAAUUUCACAGCAUAGAUUAUUUAAGAAGUUAACAACUAUAUGUCUUCUUACGGCCUUCAACAAAUAGAAAAACUCAUACAGCAUAUUGAUCUAUAAAAGGCUUAAAAAUCACACAUGUUAAUGAUUUCAAACAAGAAAACUAUUCUGAUUUCUGUAUAAAAAAUGUCCUGUUGAAGCCUGCCUCGCAGGCGAAACAUGUUGACCAUAGCAAAUAAAAUUGCAGACUAUUUGAAUUGUUGUUGUCAAUUCAGAGGUAUAAUCAAAUUUUGCAUUCAUUUGCAUAAUUUGACAACCCUGCAUACCAAGGUAUCCACUUCAGGGACUUUUUCGAAAUGAUUCACACAGGCGUUGGUUCAUCAAACGGAGUUUAAUUUAUUCUGAUUUAUAUACAAGACAAUGAAUAAAAACAAAUAUGACUUAGGACAGGCACCUACAGAAUGGUUGCAAUUAAAUGAAAAUUAACUGAUUUAUUCCAUGUCACGUGAUAACGUGUUACCCAAUAGAAUUGUUUGUAAUAUAUGUAAGGUAUUUUAAAUGACAACAUUAACAUAGAUUGGAUGAUAAGUUAAAUAUUUAUAUUAUGUCUUGAUGAAAAAGAAGUUAAAAUGUGUAUUAAUGUGUAUUUCAGCACCAUGUAGACUCCAGUAUUGGUGUGUAUGUAAUAGAUAGAUAAUAAAAGUUUAUUGUUGUGAAUUUCAGCACAAUGUAGACUCCAGUAUUGGUGUAUAAGUAAUAGAUAGAUAAUAAAAGUUUUUUGUUGUGUAUUUCAGCACCAUGUAGACUCCAGUAUUGGGGUAUAUGUAAUAGAUAGAUACACGUACUAUGCUUUAGAAUUCCUGGACACAAGAUAGUAAAAAAACUAUUGGAAAAUUUGUAAAUAGUUUUUUACUUACAAAUGUACAUAUAUCAUUAUCUUCACACAUGUUUCAAACUGGACUACUAAAAAGUUUUAUAUAAAAAGUGGAAAUUAACUAUACACAAGUUUGCGAGACAAUUUUUGUACAUUCAGAAAUCAAAUAAAGAUUAAAUUUUUGAAAGAUUUGGUUUUCAGGUCUUGUUUCCAUUAUUUUCCUUGUAUUUAAUGAAAAUAAAUAGAUAACAUGAGCCAUCCAGUUUCUCCCUACACUAGUUUGUUGGUGCAGUAUAUUUAGUCAAUAGUAAAAAAAACUUACCUGUAACAGAAAUAAGUCUUAUGUAAUUGUAAAAGUUGAGGAAAAUUUUAAUAUUGUAUGUUGCAUUUAAAUUCAAGAAAAUUAUCUGAUAAAUUACAUAUACAUGUAUUACUUUUGAACCUCAAUUUGUUGAAUGCCACUGAUCAUGGUUAAGAAAAUCAACAACUAAUCAACCCAACAGUCAUUGGUUCAGACUACACUGAACACAUAAUUUAAAAAUAUGGUAAAUCACUUAAGAAAAUAUUUUGUCACGACAUAACUGCCUCUUUGACUUGUACCUCACAAUCAUUUUUGAUUCAUACCUUAAAAUGUAUAGAAAAGUAAUAGAAAUGUUUUGAUUUUUGUUAGUUAAAAGUCUGUCCUAAGAAUGUAUGUAUAUCAACAGUAUCCACUAGAACAGAUUUAUUUGCCAGGGACCCAAAUAAAGUCUUACUAACAGAUUUCUUUGUUAGCGUAAGGAACGUUGAACCUUUAGCCAAGACCAUCAAACUUCUUAACAAAACCAACCAAUGCACGUAAAUUACUGUUAGUGAAGAUUUUAUUGAAGAUCUUUUGGGUUGAAAUAUUCAAAAAAGGUAAUUGAAUAUUGAAAAAUUUCAAACUUCCGAUGUAUUAAAAAACAGGACUUGCUUAUUAAACACAACAGAAAAAAAGCAUUUGAAAAGAAGUUUAUUCAGUGCGAUUGAAAUUAAAUUUGUCAUUGACAUUUUUUUUAUGGAAGUUGCAAUAAUGUAUUAAAAAACAGGACUUGCUUAUUAAACACAACAGAAAGAAAAGCAUUUGAAAAGAAGUUUAUUCAGUGCGAUUGAAAUUAAAUUUGUCAUUGACAUUUUUUUUAUGGAAGUUGCAAUAAUGUAUUAAAAACAGGACUUGCUUAUUAAACACAACAAAAAAAAAGCAUUUGAAAAGAAGUGUCAUUGACAUUUUUUUUUAUGGAAGUUGCAAUAUUUAAAUUAUUUUUUUGAAUUACUGGAAAUAAGUUUCUUAUAAAAUGCUUUUUUUUCUAUAACUGACCAUUUGAUUGUGAAUUUUUUUUAGAUAAACAUCUAUGUCAACAUACUAUACCUUGUGAUGUAAUUUCAUAUUCAUUGCUCUUGAACUUCUUGUUUACCUAUUCUCAUAUUUGGGUGAUAACUUGAUUUCUAUGUAUUUGCAGUAAAGAUAGCUGUCAAGAUAAAAUAGAGCCGGAAGAUCAAGAUCUAGAGCCUUUAUCAUAUGCAGAACAAUUCCCAGUGCCUAAAUGAUUUAUAUGGAUGUAAGGAACUUAAAACUUCUGUGAUAAAAUUUAUGACAGCAGGCCAAGUAAUUAAUGACUAAAUUGGUGAGAAUGACUUUGAAU
RNAcentral lists this long non-coding RNA (3637 nucleotides) under Mytilus galloprovincialis (Mediterranean mussel). The record is from RNAcentral. Lineage: Eukaryota; Metazoa; Mollusca; Bivalvia; Mytilida; Mytilidae.